CAUGCAAGUCGAACGAUGAAGAAAAGAAUUGAAGCUUCGGCAGAAAUUCAUUUCGGAUUAGCGGCAGACGGGUGAGUAACGCGUGAGCAACCUACCUCUUACAAAGGGAUAGCCUCGGGAAACCGGGAUUAAUACCAUAUAACAUUGCGACGAAGCAUUUCGAUGCAAUCAAAGCUACGGCGGUAAGAGAUGGGCUCGCGUCCCAUUAACCAGAUGGUGAGGUAACGGCUCACCAUAGUAACGAUGGGUAACCGGCCUGAGAGGGUGAACGGUCACACUGGAACUGAGACACGGUCCAGACUCCUACGGGAGGCAGCAGUGGGGAAUAUUGCACAAUGGAGGGAACUCUGAUGCAGCGACGCCGCGUGAGUGAUGAAGGAAUUCGUUUCGUAAAACUCUGUUCUAUGGGAAGAAAAGGACUGUACCAUAGGAGAAAGCUCCGGCUAAAUACGUGCCAGCAGCCGCGGUAAUACGUAUGGAGCGAGCGUUGUCCGGAAUUAUUGGGCGUAAAGGGUGCGCAGGCGGCUUUACAAGUUGGAUGUGAAAUAUUGUGGCUCAACCACAAACGUGCAUCCAAAACUGCAAAGCUUGAGUUAAGGAGAGGUAAGUGGAAUUCCUGGUGUAGCGGUGGAAUGCGUAGAUAUCAGGAGGAAUACCGGUGGCGAAGGCGACUUACUGGACUUAAACUGACGCUCAGGCACGAAGCGUGGGGAGCAAACAGGAUUAGAUACCCUGGUAGUCCACGCCGUAAACGAUGAGUGCUAGGUGUUGGGGGUCAA
Molecule: ribosomal RNA, 779 nt
Filed under: uncultured bacterium
Lineage: Bacteria
Description: bacterial SSU rRNA
Rfam family: Bacterial small subunit ribosomal RNA
Source: RNAcentral